Molecule: ribosomal RNA, 406 nt
Filed under: uncultured bacterium
Lineage: Bacteria
Description: partial 16S ribosomal RNA
Rfam family: Bacterial small subunit ribosomal RNA
Source: RNAcentral
AUUGAACGCUGGCGGCAGGCCUAACACAUGCAAGUCGAACGAGUGGCGGACGGGUGUGUAAUGUCUGGGAAACUGCCUGAUGGAGGGGGAUAACUACUGGAAACGGUAGCUAAUACCGCAUACCAUCAGAUGUGCCCAGAUGGGAUUAGCUAGUUGGUGGGGUAACGGCUCACCAAGGCGACGAUCCCUAGCUGGUCUGAGAGGAUGACCAGCCACACUGGAACUGAGACACGGUCCAGACUCCUACGGGAGGCAGCAGUGGGGAAUAUUGCACAAUGGGCGCAAGCCUGAUGCAGCCAUGCCGCGUGUAUGAAGAAGGCCUUCGGGUUGUAAAGUACUUUCAGUGGGGAGGCGUUACCCACACAAGAAGCAACGGCUAACUCCGUGCCAGCAGCCGCGGUAAUUC